Molecule: long non-coding RNA, 654 nt
Organism: Carassius carassius (crucian carp)
Lineage: Eukaryota; Metazoa; Chordata; Actinopteri; Cypriniformes; Cyprinidae
Exons: 3
Source: RefSeq, a predicted model, not a curated record
GCAGUAGUUCUUCAGCUACCAACUACUUGAAAUAAUCAGUGAAUAAUGACUUAAUUUUCAGUCGGAUCUUCAUACAAAACUAUCAUUUAGAAUAUAGUGCACGAGUAUAGACUACUUUAAUGUUUUUUCCAGCCUAUGCCACGUGGCCACCAUAAAUUGUAUAGAAAAUACAUGCAUGAUGGUUCUUCAGGAAUAAUGAUUUAAUAUAGAAUAGGAAAAUUAAGAGCAGACUACAUGGAUUUGUAACGACACGAGGGUGGAAUGAUCAAAUGCAAGCGUGUCUGUGUGAAAAGAUACAGGCACUGGCGACAGGCCUGUCUGCAUGGCUGUGGUGAGUCUGGGUUUCCCCAGCUGGAUGUGCUUGUUUAUGCUUCCAUUUCAAGGCGGCUAGAGGACAGCGUGCCUGUCAACACAGAGAAAGAGGGACACGCCUGUCUCCGCUGCAGUGAUGGAUUUAGGCGAUGAGGGGCAUUUCGUUUGGAAUAUUGGACCUCCUUGUGCCUUGGCCCUGCCCUUUGGGCCGAACAUGCCAGAUUGAAUACAUAGCUCUAAAUGAGGGUUAGAACUCCCUUGUAGUCUUAUGAAAACGCCAUUUAAAGUGUCUUACUGUGUUAGUUUACAAGUGUCCACAUUUACAAGUACUUUAGAGUGUGU